UUACGACCAUAUCAUGUUGAAACAUCAGUUCCCGUGCGAUCACCGAAUCUAAGCAACGUCGAACCUGUUCAGUACCUAGAUGGGUGACCGCUUGGGAAUACCAGGUGCUGGA
This is a non-coding RNA of Acanthosepion pharaonis, 112 nucleotides long. Lineage: Eukaryota; Metazoa; Mollusca; Cephalopoda; Sepiida; Sepiidae. The record is from the annotation of a GenBank genome assembly.